UGGGGAAUAUUGGACAAUGGGCGAAAGCCUGAUGCAGCCAUGCCGCGUGUAUGAAGAAGGCCUUCGGGUUGUAAAGUACUUUCAGCGGGGAGGAAGGCGAUAAGGUUAAUAACCUUGUCGAUUGACGUUACCCGCAGAAGAAGCACCGGCUAACUCCGUGCCAGCAGCCGCGGUAAUACGGAGGGUGCAAGCGUUAAUCGGAAUUACUGGGCGUAAAGCGCACGCAGGCGGUCUGUCAAGUCGGAUGUGAAAUCCCCGGGCUCAACCUGGGAACUGCAUUCGAAACUGGCAGGCUAGAGUCUUGUAGAGGGGGGUAGAAUUCCAGGUGUAGCGGUGAAAUGCGUAGAGAUCUGGAGGAAUACCGGUGGCGAAGGCGGCCCCCUGGACAAAGACUGACGCUCAGGUGCGAAAGCGUGGGGAGCAAACA
RNAcentral lists this ribosomal RNA (427 nucleotides) under uncultured bacterium. RNAcentral's name for it is "partial 16S ribosomal RNA". It matches the Rfam family "Bacterial small subunit ribosomal RNA", at positions 355 to 774 of the family's 1533-position model. The record is from RNAcentral.